This is an RNA transcript of Neofelis nebulosa (Clouded leopard), 7053 nucleotides long. It is a transcript of the gene named Rho guanine nucleotide exchange factor 3, with no coding region annotated. NCBI's taxonomy places the organism in Eukaryota, Metazoa, Chordata, Mammalia, Carnivora, Felidae. The transcript has 13 exons. The record is from RefSeq and is a predicted model, not a curated record.
CUACUGAAUGAAUGAAUGCAGAAAAUAGUUUUAGUUGGAUUCCCACGUCUAUUUCCGCACGGUGACCCAGGCCACUGCAGGCUGCUGCUCUUUCUGGCUCAGCACCCGCCCACAAACCCCGCGAUUCCUGAGGGCUUGGUGGCGCGGGGAUUCGCGCAGCUCUGGCUCGUCCUCAUUCUGACCCUCACAGUCCAGGAAAGGGAGGCUUGGACAAGACCCGACGCGCCCCAGAAAGAAGAUCUGGCCUGGCCAUGCUGUGUCUAUGGACAGUUCCACAGUAAUGAAUCAGUGCGUCUUCAGAGGGAUGGAAGAAAACAAAGAAAGCGAAAACGCAAGCAGAGCACCCAGGAUGAGGAUGCCGUUAGCCUUUGCAGUCUCGACAUAAGCGAGCCUAGUAAUAAACGGGUCAAACCCCUUUCCAGAGUCACAUCGCUAGCAAACCUCAUCCCACCCGUGAAGGCCACACCGUUAAAACGCUUCAGCCAAACCCUGCAGCGUUCCAUUAGCUUCCGCAGUGAGAGCCGUCCUGACAUCCUCACCCCCCGACCCUGGUCCAGAAAUGCCGCCCCCUCAAGCACGAAGCGGAGAGAUAGCAAGCUGUGGAGUGAGACCUUCGAUGUGUGCGUCAAUCAGAUGCUUCCGUCCAAGGAAAUCAAACGUCAGGAGGCAAUCUUUGAGCUUUCCCAAGGAGAAGAAGACUUGAUAGAGGACUUGAAAUUGGCAAAAAAGGCCUAUCACGACCCCAUGCUGAAACUCUCCAUAAUGACAGAGCAAGAGUUGAAUCAAAUUUUCGGAACACUGGACUCUCUCAUUCCUCUACAUGAAGAGCUCCUUAGUCAGCUUCGAGACGCUCGGAAGCCUGAUGGCUCCACUGAACAUGUUGGUCCCAUCCUCGUGGGCUGGCUGCCUUGUCUCAGCUCCUACGACAGUUACUGCAGCAAUCAAGUAGCCGCCAAGGCUCUGCUGGACCACAAAAAACAAGAUCACCGAGUCCAGGAUUUCCUGCAACGAUGUUUAGAAUCCCCCUUUAGCCGCAAACUGGAUCUCUGGAAUUUUCUUGAUAUUCCAAGAAGCCGUCUAGUGAAAUACCCUCUGCUUCUUCGAGAAAUCUUGAGACACACACCAAAUGAUAAUCCAGAUCAGCAGCACCUGGAAGAGGCUAUAAACAUCAUUCAGGGAAUCGUGGCAGAAAUCAACACCAAGACCGGGGAAUCUGAGUGCCGCUAUUAUAAAGAGCGGCUUCUUUACUUGGAAGAAGGCCAGAAAGACUCUCUAAUCGACAGCUCGAGAGUGCUGUGUUGUCAUGGAGAACUGAAGAACAACCGAGGCGUGAAACUUCAUGUUUUCCUGUUCCAAGAAGUGCUUGUGAUCACUCGAGCCGUCACCCACAAUGAGCGGCUCUGCUACCAGUUGUACCGGCAGCCGAUCCCUGUAAAGGACCUCCUACUGGAAGACCUGCAGGAUGGAGAAGUGAGGCUGGGUGGCUCCCUGCGUGGCGCAUUUAGCAACAAUGAGAGAAUUAAAAACUUCUUCAGAGUGAGUUUCAAAAACGGAUCCCAAAGUCAGACCCACUCGCUACAAGCCAACGACACCUUCAACAAACAGCAGUGGCUCAACUGUAUUCGUCAAGCCAAAGAAACAGUGCUGUGUGCUGCCGGGCAGGCUGGGGUGCUGGACUCCGAGGGACCGUUCCUCAAUCCCACCACCGGGAGCAGGGAGCCACAGGGAGAAACAAAACUUGAGCAGAUGGACCAAUCAGACAGUGAGUCAGACUGUAGUAUGGACACGAGUGAGGUCAGCCUAGACUGUGAGCGCAUGGAACAGACAGACUCUUCCUGUGGGAACAGCAGGCACAUUGAAAGCAACGUCUGACAGAAGCGUGUGUACUUCCUGGAAGUAGCCCUUUGUCUUACCUGUACAGUAUUUGCAUUCCACACAUGGAACGGUUUGGAGAAGCACUUUUUAAUAUUUUUGUGACCGUGUUGACCCAGUUUCUUGUAUCUGUACCUUUGUCCUUAGUACUGUAACUGCCAAUCUGUCUGUGUAAGCUGGGAUCUGUGGUAACCGUUACCCUGUAUUGUAUUCCACAAGUGUCUGGAUAGAUGGAGGGGUACUUGAACAAGUUACUUUCAAUUGUCCUGCUGGAUUUUAAAACUAGAAAAGAAUCUCUAAACUACUGUUCCAUGUAGAUUGCUUAAAAGAGUCUUUCCAUGUUUCUAUAGUGCUUUUCUAGCUCUUUGACAUGGUAGCUGAAGGCAUGGAGUAUACAGGGCCUUGCAAAAAGGGCAUGAGGAAGUCACUUGUGUAUCAUGAUGGUAUUCGAAGGAAAAUGGGAAAAGAUCAAUCCUUGCAGUGAACUUGGUUCAAUGUUAUCCAACCAGAAAGCAUGAAAACAUCCCUGGGGAUUCUGGAUCCUUAAUUUUGCAAAGCAAGAAGCACUGUGUGGACCUUGCAAUGUCAUCCAGUGCAUAUUUGAUGCAGUAAUCUAUUAGGAUGUGGAAUAGUGUCUGACCUUAAAAGGACCAGCACAAAAGCAGCCGUCAGCUCUGAAUCUUGAACUGAAAUGCAGUUACACCGGGAGGAGGGAGUGUGUCUCUGUCAAAGUUGUUGGCUUGCCGUAGAGAGCCAUUUCUAGCCUAAAACACCAGAAUAGAACUCGAAAGGUUUGGGAAUAUCUGCCAGAAUAAUGAGAAGGCCCAUCUUCGUUUUGUUUCAUCUGCCAAGCCCUACUCAUAUUUUGGAGCAUUGAGCAAGAGACUGCAGGAGAGUCCAUGCCUCUGUUCACAGAAACAUAUGAGAAGAAGAAUUUGGAAGAAGUGCUUCAUCAUGACCUCUUACAGGAAACAUUAAGAGAAAAGCCAGGUCUAGUGCCCUUCUGAGAAAGGCCAGAGCCUUGGGUUUUCCUGUUCUGCUUUUGGGUCAUCACUUUGCCACCUUGGCCCUGUGCUGUGAUCAGAGCCAUAAUUACAUUCUCCAAAGGCCAAUUUUAAUUAACUCUGAUUAAUUAGAAUCAAUUAACGAAAUUAGUAACCUCUUUGUCCAGCUUUGGCUUACAGUGCAGGGUAGAUUGCAGAUCUUAAAAAAAGCCAACUGAAUACACAGAAAAGCUCCCUGUGAGUGUAAAUAUUAAGGAUGACCUGUGCAGAAUUAUUCCCACACCAGCACUAGUAGUAAUGAUUCUAAAUUAUUGCCAAAAAGUUUUUUUUAAUCUUCUGUGUCUUUCGAGUUUACAGAAAGCAGUAAACGCUGUGUUGUCAUUUUAUGAUGUACAUCUAAUAUGUGCAUUCAAAGAAGCUGUGUGACAAGAUGUAUCAUUAUAAAAACAAGAAUGCUAGAAUUAUGGUAUCAGAAGGGAAUUUGAAGAAGGUGAAUCAAGCCCAAACCCACCGGAAGAAAUGUGAAGAUCAUGAAGAUUUAAAACCUUGCCCAUAGGAACACAUAAUGAGAAAAGGUGACUAUAUUCACGGCACCUACAGGGUCUUUACACAAACAAGCUGCAAAACAAUCACUGUUCCUUGUAUCCCAGCUCCUUCCUCCAGGCUUGGUUGGCACAUCAGUCAGCUAUGCAGAUCCACCCAGAUAAGCACUUCUUUCUUUUUUUUUAAAUGUGCAUUUAUUUUUCAGAGACAGAGGGUGAGUGAGGCAGGAGCAGAGAGAGAGGGAAACACAGAAUCUGAAGCAGGCUCCAGGCUCCGAGCUGUGAGCACAGAACCCAAUGUGGGGCUCAAACCCACACACAAACCGCGAGAUCAUGACCUGAGCUGAAGUUGGACACAACCGACUGAGCCACCCAGGUCCCCCAGACUAAGCACUUCUUCAACUGACCUGGUCGGCAUAGCAAGGAAUUAGAAACCGUGCUCUGUAUCUGAGAACUGAUCAUCUAGUUCAGGAAACUGCACAUGCAUUCUAAAUAACUUGUCCAUUUAUACAUAUGUAUUCACACACAAACACACCUAAAUAUUAAUGACCUGUGCUACUCAUCUGUGAAUGGUUUGAAGAAUAUCACCCUGAAGGUAUUGUAUUCAGUGUAUCUAUUUUCAUAUCUGUGAACACUUUAAAAAGUGAGACUGUGAAUGUGAAAUCACUUUGGAAAUUAGUAAGAGCUAAUAGUUUUCAUUAUUGUUAUUUAAUACUCACUUUUUUUAAUUUUAUUUUUUAUUUUUUAAAAUUUACAUCCAAAUUAGUUAGCAUAUAGUGAAACAAUGAUUUCAGGAGUAGAUUCCUUAGUGCCCCUUACCCAUUUAGCCCAUCCCCCCCCCACAACCCCUUCAGUAACCCUCAGUUUGUUCUCCAUAUUUAUGAGUCUCUUUUGUUUUGUCCCCCUCCCUGUUUUUAUAUUAUUUUUGUUUCCCUUCCUUAUGUUCAUCUGUUUUGUCUCUUAAAGUCCUCAUAUGAGUGAAGUCAUAUGAUUUUUGUCUUUCUCUGACUAAUUUCACUUAGCAUAAUACCCUCCAGUUCCAUCCACAUAGUUGCAAAUGGCAAUACUCACUUUUAAAUUUACACCUGGUGUUAUGAAAUUUCUCAAAAGUAUGAUGUUGGCCUUUUUCACUGUACUGCACACUUCAAAGCGGGGGGGGGCGGUGAGUGGUCUUCUUAAUCCAGCAAAUCAGGAGUAUUUUUUUAGAUUUUUUUUCUUUGGCAUUUUCCUUCCCACAAUUAUCUGUUUUUUCUUUCAGGAACUCCAGAAAGAGAGAUGUUGAACCUUGUGGAUUUGGUCUCUACUCCUGAUUGUUUUUCAAUGUUCUUAUCUCUUUAUUCCUACUUUUUAUUUCCUUAUAUUUUGUUCUGUCUCAGGGAAACUUACUUACUGUUAUCUUCUAACCCUUCUAUUAAUUUGGGGAAAUGGUUAGCUAUCACAGGCUUUGUUUUUUUUUAAGAUUUUAUUUUUAAGUAAUCUCUACACCCAGUGUAGGGCUUGAAUUCACAACCCCAAGAUCAAAUUCACAUGCUUUACUGACUGAGCCAGCCAGGUGCUCCAAUCACAGUUUUUAUCGCUAAUUUCCCCCCCUUUUUCCAUCAUCAUUCCUAUUCUUAGACCAUCUUGUUCUUGUUUAGUGAAGGCAAUAACUACUGUAAACUCAGGAAAUCAUAGUUUUGUUGAGUUUUUCUUCUUGCAUUGUUUGUUAAUCUGGCAAUAAUAAUAGUAAUAUAUGGGAUUUGAGGGAGGAGUAAAGGAGCUUAAAUGUCCAAGAAGGUAAUGCCAGAUAUCUUCAUUUACCUCUCCAAAGCCACUCUCUGUCCUGAUCCUUCUGUGCCUGUGAAAUCUAUGUGUACUUCAUCAAUGGGCUCUCUUCCUUGUAGCUUCUGGCCAAAGGGGAGUUCUCACAUGAUAUCAGGGAGGGAAGCAAGUGAAGUUGGAGUAUUUAUGCCCUCAGGUCUCUCAAAGAAUUGACUUGGUCUGACUGCAUCUCUUGACAGGAAGUCACAGCUCCUCUCAAGGAGUCCUCUCUGAGUUCCCAUAAGCCUGCCAGCCUAGGAUGGUAACAACCCUACUGUCACUAGCCCUAGGAGACUGCGUUAUUCUUGUACCCUGCUCACAAUUGCAUAAAGUCCCUUUAUGAAGUCCUCCUUGAAUUAACCUAAUUUGAAUCUGCUGCUGAGCCUCCUAAGCCCCUGACGGAUACUGGUGGCUGACAUAAUAAACAUUAUACUACAUGUGCUAUCGUCACUCUUGUCACUGUUAUUCCACAUCUGCAUUGUAUUUUCAUAUGUUGUGGUUCAAGGAUACAAAGAUCUUGUGGACUCAUCAAAGUUGGAUUUUGUGUUUCUGUUUCUUAUUAUUGCAGUGGAUUGUUUUAUGAGAAGAAACAGGAAAAUAUCUUUCAAAAACAAAGACAAAAUAAACAAGGACUUUUUCAGGCAUGCCACAUCCCAAAGCCAAAAGAUUUCAUAACCAACAGACCUAUACUACAAGAAAUGUUAAAGAACCUUCUUUCAAGAGAGAAAAAUGAUACUGGAUGGAAGUAUGGAUCCAUGCAACAGAAAGAAAAGCACUGAAAAAGCAACUAUGUGGGGAAAAUAGGAAAUACUCUUCUUAUUGUAUAAAUCUCCUUAAAGGAUUGAGUUCUAGCCAUUCUAAACUAAUAAGGAUAGUUUUACCUUUUCACCUGAAACAACAAGAAAAAGGCAGCGUAUAUGAAACUGUGGCUUUAAAGACGCUGAACAUCAGAUAUUGAAGAACAAUGGCCCUGAGAGAGGCAGAGCAAAUGACUGAGCCCUGUGAUUGCUCCAGCUAUGGCCUUGAGAAGGUUUUCAGGCAGCAGUGCAGAGAGUGGAAACCCAGACUGAGUCCAGUGAACUCACUGAGUGGAAGAGAUAUAGCUAAGUAUUCUGGGAGACCAAAGCAGCUACGCUACAGAGAAGAGAGCAAUGCCUGGAGAGAGAACCAUGGUGGUCUAUAGAGGGACACACUCAGGUGCUCAGCUGAGUACUGAUGAGUGCACACACGUGAAGAAACUACCCAAGGGUGGGGGAAACUAUCCAAAAGGAUUAGAGGGAACUCACACAGUGCUGGGAAUAGUGCCUAUUCCCACAAACCACACCAGAAGAAUAUCAUAAUUGGGUAAAGUACUCAGAAGGGCCUACUUUCAGUAGUGGGGAAUAAUUACCUCUACACUAAACACUAGCCUGGUUUGCACCUAACAAGUCUUAAAAGAAAGGCUAAAAAGGAUCAAACCAUUUCCAAGUAACUUAACUGCAUACCAGAACAAAACUCAAUUGUUUAUACGAAUACAAAAUUAUCCAGCAUCUAACAGGGUAAAAUUCACAGUGUCUGACAUCUAAUCGAGGGCUACAAGCCCUUCAGGAAAGGACAACCCAUAGUGAAGAGGGAGGAAAAAAAAAUUAAAACCAACCCAGAACCAACACAGAUGUAGGUGCAUCACAAGUUAUAGCUGUGUUCCAUAUUUUUAAUGUUAAGUGGAGAAAUGAAAAAUAUGAAGAAAGACCCAAAUCUAACUUCUAGAGAUGCAAACUACCAUGUAUGAGAUGAAAGAUACACUGGAUGGGAAUAAUAGCAGAUUAUGCCUCACAGGGAAAAAAAAAAGAUAAUUU